Molecule: ribosomal RNA, 245 nt
Filed under: uncultured archaeon
Lineage: Archaea
Description: partial 16S ribosomal RNA
Rfam family: Archaeal small subunit ribosomal RNA
Source: RNAcentral
UCCCGGCGGUCCAAGUUGCAUCCCAUUAUUGGGUCUAAAACAUCCGUAGCUCGUUUAUUAAGUCUCUUGUGAAAUCUCGUGUCUCAAGCGCGAGGCGAGCAAGAGAUACUGGUUGACUAGAGAUCGGUAGACGUAAGGAGUACGCUGGAGGUAGUGGUUAAAUACGUUAAUCUUUGGUGGACUAACAAUUUAGCGAAGGCACCUUACGAGAACGAGUCUGACAGUGAGGGAUGAAGGCUAGGGGC